Molecule: non-coding RNA, 27 nt
Filed under: Rattus norvegicus (Norway rat)
Lineage: Eukaryota; Metazoa; Chordata; Mammalia; Rodentia; Muridae
Source: RNAcentral
UGACAGGAUAUCUCCAUAUUUCACUGC